RNAcentral lists this ribosomal RNA (253 nucleotides) under uncultured bacterium. RNAcentral describes it as "partial 16S ribosomal RNA". It matches the Rfam family "Bacterial small subunit ribosomal RNA", at positions 524 to 776 of the family's 1533-position model. The record is from RNAcentral.
UACGGAGGGUGCAAGCAUUAAUCGGAUUUAUUGGGCGUAAAGGGCGCGUAGACGGAUUGGAAAGUCAGAAGUGAAAUACCGUGGCUCAACCACGGAGCAGCAUCUGAAACUACUAAACUAGAGGAUAGGUGGGGGAAACGGAAUUCCACAUGUAGCGGUGAAAUGCGUAGAUAUGUGGAAGAACACCGGUGGCGAAGGCGGUUUUCUAACCUACACCAGACGUUGAGGCGCGAAAGCGUGGGGAGCAAACAGG